This 148-nucleotide signal recognition particle RNA is filed under the name Gorilla gorilla gorilla (western lowland gorilla). Its description in RNAcentral is "Metazoan signal recognition particle RNA". It matches the Rfam family "Metazoan signal recognition particle RNA". Rfam says of the family: The signal recognition particle (SRP) is a universally conserved ribonucleoprotein. It is involved in the co-translational targeting of proteins to membranes. The record is from Rfam by way of RNAcentral. Lineage: Eukaryota; Metazoa; Chordata; Mammalia; Primates; Hominidae.
GCCGGGCGUGGUGGUGCAUGCCUGUAAUCCCAGCUACUCAGGAGGCUGAGGCAGGAGAAUUGCUUGAACCCAGGAGGUGGAGGUUGCAGUGAGCCAAGAUCACACCACUGCACUCCAGCCUGGGUGACAGAGUGAGACCCUGUCUCAA